RNAcentral lists this ribosomal RNA (386 nucleotides) under Veillonella parvula. RNAcentral describes it as "bacterial LSU rRNA". It matches the Rfam family "Bacterial large subunit ribosomal RNA", at positions 1 to 395 of the family's 2925-position model. Lineage: Bacteria; Bacillati; Bacillota; Negativicutes; Veillonellales; Veillonellaceae. The record is from RNAcentral.
GUAAAGAUUUUAAGGGCGUACGGUGGAUGCCUUGGCGAUAUCAGCCGAAGAAGGACGCGGUAAGCUGCGAUAAGCUACGGAGAGGUGCAAGCAACCUGUGACCCGUAGAUAUCCGAAUGGGGGAACCCGGCAGUGGUUAUGCACUGUCACCCAUAGCAUAGACUAUGAGGAGGGCACCCGGGGAACUGAAACAUCUAAUUACCCGGAGGAACAGUAAUCAAACGAGAUUUUCUUAGUAGCGGCGAGCGAACGGGAAAGAGGCCAAACCGGAGCGGGCAACCGCACCGGGGUUGAGGACAGUCAUCAAGUGUAAAUGAGGUAGAAGAAUCGAGCUGGAAAGCUCAGCCGCAGAAGGUGAAAGCCCUGUAAUCGAAACCUUGCAUACA